UCCUCCUUACUUUUUUUAAAGAAUGACUUAUUUUUAGGUUAAUCGUGACCCCCUCCACCUCCGUUCAACAACCCCGCGCGCAGCGCCUCCUCUGUGACGGCACCCCCCACCUCCGUUUGACAACCCGGACAGCACCCCAAGAUAGUAUCCCAACCGUCGUUCGACCCCAGGAUAGCAACCUCGCUAUUGUUCAACAUCCACAACAGCUCGUGUGACUGGAGUCAACCUCUCUUCUCCGGCGACUGGUUUCCUCCUUCUCAGGCGAUAGCACCUCAGGUGCACGACAAAUUCCCCAAAUGAUGUCUAAUCUAGAGUUAUUGAAGAUGGCCUCUGAAGGCAUGAAGAACUUGAGGCCUGAAGACCUGAAGAAUGCAGCAGAACAGUUGAAGCAUACCCAUCCAGAGGAGAUGGCUGAGAUUGGAGAGAAGAUGGCUAACUCAACGCCUAAAGAGAUAGUAGCUAUGCGUACACGUCUUGAUGCCCAGAUCACUUAUAAAUUGAAUGGAGCUCAGAUGCUGAAGAAACAGGGAAAUGAGCUUCAUAGCCAGGGAAAGUACAAUGAUGCCUUGCAGAAGUACUGUCUUGCAAAAAAGAACCUAAAAGGCAUUCCAUCAUCAAAAUUUCAAUCACUAUAGUUGGCAUGCUCACUAAACUUGAUGUCAUGUUACUUGAAAACAAAGCAGUUUGAUGAAUGCAUAAAAGAAGGUUCUGAGGUAUUGGGAUAUGAUGUGAAGAAUGUGAAAGCCCUUUACCAUAAUUAAUUGUUACAUCAUAUAAGAGGGAUCAUAGAAUAUAUAUAUUGAUUGUUAUAUGUUCAUUUGAUUUUGAUCAGCAGUAGCAGUUUUAUAAGCUUAGGACACACAAGUAAUCCCUGGAUUAAGGUACUGUAUCAGCUUGCAUAUAUUAUGAUUCUUGAACCAUUUUUUCCCUACAUUAAGUCAAUGUUGUAGAUUGAUGGUCAUGGGGAUUAAUUGUCAUUGGAAGCCUACUUUUUUAUGUUAAAUUUCUAAAAAAUUUACUAUGAAAUGUAUUGUUAUGAACUUAUGGCAUAUACUAUGGUGGAAGUUCAAUACAUUUCGAAGAGCUGUAACUAGUAGCCCAUAAUCUGGCCAAAUGGGCAGGAAGAACAGGUGCCAUGGAGAGCUGAACAAUGAACAUAUCCCUACAUGUAUAUUCCAAGACCACAAGGAGUUUGAGCAAGGCACAUCUUUCACAGGUUUGCAACUGGAGUGGACACAUAAAGCUUAUUCAGAUGGCACUUGAUCCCUUAAGUUGAAAUUUGAGGGGAAUAUCUGAGUAAAAGUUUAUAUGUGUACAUGUAGCCAAUCUUUGCAAUUGCGUAUUCCAAUUUAUUUAAAAUUGUUUCAGGUUUGUACAAUUCCAAUAGGAACAUUGGAUGCUACAAAGCCUUUAUGUUUGUAUGUUGUAUUAUUGGAUGGAUCUUGGUCUUAUUUCUAAUACAUGAUUUUAUUAUUGA
Molecule: RNA transcript, 1477 nt
Organism: Humulus lupulus (European hop)
Lineage: Eukaryota; Viridiplantae; Streptophyta; Magnoliopsida; Rosales; Cannabaceae
Gene name: outer envelope protein 61-like
Exons: 6
Source: RefSeq, a predicted model, not a curated record